RNAcentral lists this transfer RNA (85 nucleotides) under Rhodobacter sp. Its description in RNAcentral is "tRNA-Leu". It matches the Rfam family "tRNA". Rfam says of the family: Transfer RNA (tRNA) molecules are approximately 80 nucleotides in length. Their secondary structure includes four short double-helical elements and three loops (D, anti-codon, and T loops). RNAcentral also lists the same sequence under 39 other names. Lineage: Bacteria; Pseudomonadati; Pseudomonadota; Alphaproteobacteria; Rhodobacterales. The record is from RNAcentral.
GCCCAGAUGGCGGAAUUGGUAGACGCACUGGUUUCAGGUACCAGCGCUGCAAGGCGUGGAGGUUCGAGUCCUCUUCUGGGCACCA